GAUGAACGCUGGCGGCGUGCCUAAUACAUGCAAGUCGAGCGAACAGAUGAGGAGCUUGCUCCUCUGACGUUAGCGGCGGACGGGUGAGUAACACGUGGAUAACCUACCUAUAAGACUGGGAUAACUUCGGGAAACCGGAGCUAAUACCGGAUAAUAUAUUGAACCGCAUGGUUCAAUAGUGAAAGACGGUUUUGCUGUCACUUAUAGAUGGAUCCGCGCCGCAUUAGCUAGUUGGUAAGGUAACGGCUUACCAAGGCAACGAUGCGUAGCCGACCUGAGAGGGUGAUAGGCCACACUGGAACUGUGACACGGUCCAGACUCCUACGGGAGGCAGCAGUAGGGAAUCUUCCGCAAUGGGCGAAAGCCUGACGGAGCAAAGCCGCGUGAGUGAUGAAGGUCUUCGGAUCGUAAAACUCUGUUAUUAGGGAAGAACAAAUGUGUAAGUAACUAUGCACGUCUUGACGGUACCUAAUCAGAAAGCCACGGCUAACUACGUG
RNAcentral lists this ribosomal RNA (497 nucleotides) under uncultured bacterium. RNAcentral's name for it is "partial 16S ribosomal RNA". It matches the Rfam family "Bacterial small subunit ribosomal RNA", at positions 28 to 507 of the family's 1533-position model. The record is from RNAcentral.